AUUGAACGCUGGCGGCAUGCCUUACACAUGCAAGUCGAACGGUAACAGAUCUUCGGAUGCUGACGAGUGGCGAACGGGUGAGUAAUACAUCGGAACGUGCCCGAGAGUGGGGGAUAACGAAGCGAAAGUUACGCUAAUACCGCAUACGAUCUACGGAUGAAAGCGGGGGAUCGCAAGACCUCGCGCGAAUGGAGCGGCCGAUGUCAGAUUAGGUAGUUGGUGGGGUAAAGGCUCACCAAGCCGACGAUCUGUAGCUGGUCUGAGAGGACGACCAGCCACACUGGGACUGAGACACGGCCCAGACUCCUACGGGAGGCAGCAGUGGGGAAUCUUAGACAAUGGGGGAAACCCUGAUCUAGCCAUGCCGCGUGAGCGAUGAAGGCCUUAGGGUUGUAAAGCUCUUUCAGAUGGGAAGAUAAUGACGGUACCAUCAGAAGAAGCCCCGGCUAACUCCGUG
RNAcentral lists this ribosomal RNA (457 nucleotides) under uncultured bacterium. RNAcentral's name for it is "bacterial SSU rRNA". It matches the Rfam family "Bacterial small subunit ribosomal RNA", at positions 30 to 507 of the family's 1533-position model. The record is from RNAcentral.